AUGUUCUGGUGUUUGACACUGACGUUGAUAAAGUACAAAAGUUUAUGUCCAAAAUAUUGUCCAACUUUCAGCCAUUUCUAUCAAUGUUAUGCCACGUUUGAAAGUUUUAUUACUGUCCUUUAUACUGUCCCUUUCCUUUACUACUGUCCCUUUACUUUACUACUAUGUCCCUUUCCUUCACUACUGUGUCCCUUUCCUUCACUACUGUGUCCCUUUCCUUCACUACUGUCCCUUUCCUUUACUACUGUGUCCCUUUCCUUCACUACUGUCCCUUUCCUUUACUACUGUCCCUUUCAUUUACUACUGUCCCUUUCCUUUACUACUGUCCAUUUCCUUUACUACUGUCCCUUUCCUUCACUGCUGUCCCUUUCCUUUCUACUGUCCCUUUCCUUUACUACUGUCCCUUUCCUUUACUACUGUCCCUUUCCUUUACUACUGUCCCUUUCCUUCACUACUGUCCCUUUCCUUUACUACUGUCCCUUUCCUUUACUACUGUCCCUUUCCUUUCUACUGUCCAUUUCCUUUACUACUGUCCCUUUCCUUUACUACUGUCCCUUUCCUUUACUACUGUCCCUUUCCUUUACUACUGUCCCUUUCCUUUACUACUGUCCCUUUCCUUCACUACUGUCCCUUUCCUUUACUACUGUCCCUUUCCUUUACUACUGUCCCUUUCCUUCACUACUGUCCCUUUACUACUGUCCCUUUCUUUUACUACUGUCCCUUUACUACUGUCCCUUUCCUUUACUACUGUCCCUUUCCUUUACUACUGUCCCUUUCCUUCUCUACUGUCCCUUUCCUUUACUACUGUCCCUUUCCUUUCCUACUGUCCCUUUACUACUGUCCCUUUCCUUUACUACUGUCCAUUUCCUUUACUACUGUCCCUUUCCUUCUCUACUGUCCCUUUCCUUUACUACUGUCCCUUUCCUUUACUACUGUCCCUUUCCUUUACUACUGUCCCUUUCCUUCACUACUGUCCCUUUCCUUUACUACUGUCCCUUUCCUUCACUACUGUCCCUUUCCUUUACUACUGUCCCUUUCCAUUACUACUGUCCCUUUACUACUGUCCCUUUCCUUUACUACUGUCCCCUUUCCUUUACUACUGUCCCUUUCCUUCUCUACUGUCCCUUUCCUUUACUACUGCCCCUUUCCUUUACUACUGUCCCUUUCCUUUACUACUGCUCCUUUCCUUUACUACUGCCCCUUUCCUUUACUACUGUCCCUUUCCUUUACUACUGUCCCUUUCCUUUACUACCGUCCCUUUCCUUUACUACUGUCCCUUUCCUUUACUACUGUCCCUUUCCUUCACUACUGUCCCUUUCCUUUACUACUGUCCCUUUCCUUUACUACUGUCCCCUUUCCUUUACUACUGUCCCUUUCCUUUACUACUGUCCCUUUCCUUUACUACUGUCCCUUUCCUUUACUACUGUCCCUUUCCUUUACUACUGUCCCUUUCCUUUACUACUGUCCCUUUCCUUUACUACUGUCCCUUUCCUUACUACUGUCCCUUUCCUUACUACUGUCCCUUUCCUUACUACUGUCCCUUUCCUUUCACUACUGUCCCUUCUCCUUUCCUUUACUACUGUCCCUUUCCUUUACUACUGUCCCUUUACUACUGUCCCUUUCCUUUACUACUGUCCCUUUCCUUUACUACUGUCCCUUUCCUUCUCUACUGUCCCCUUUCCUUUACUACUGCCCCUUUCCUUUACUACUGUCCCUUUCCUUUACUACUGUCCCUUUCCUUUACUACUGUCCCUUUCCUUCACUACUGUCCCUUUCCUUCACUACUGUCCCUUUCCUUUACUACUGUCCCUUUCCUUUACUACUGUCCCUUUCCUUCACUACUGUCCCUUUCCUUUACUACCGUCCCUUUCCUUUACUACUGUCCCUUUCCUUUACUACUGUCCCUUUCCUUUACUACUGUCCCUUUCCUUUACUACUGUCCCUUUCCUUUACUACUGCCCCUUUCCUUUACUACUGUCCCUUUCCUUUACUACUGUCCCUUUCCUUUACUACCGUCCCUUUCCUUUACUACCGUCCCUUUCCUUUACUACUGUCCCUUUCCUUUACUACUGUCCCUUUCCUUCACUACUGUCCCUUUCCUUUCUACUGUCCCUUUCCUUUACUACCGUCCCUUUCCUUUACUACUGUCCCUUUCCUUUACUACUGUCCCUUUCCUUUCUACUGUCCCUUUCCUUUACUACCGUCCCUUUCCUUUACUACUGUCCCUUUCCUUUACUACUGUCCCUUUCCUUCACUACUGUCCCUUUCCUUUACUACUGUCCCUUUCCUACUGUCCCUUUCCUUCACUACUGUCUCUUUCCUUCACUACUGUCCCUUUCCUUUACUACUGUCCCUUUACUACUGUCCCUUUCCUUUACUACUGUCCCUUUCCUUUACUACUGUCCCUUUCCUUCUCUACUGUCCCUUUCCUUUACUACUGUCGCUUUCCUACUGUCCCUUUCCUUCACUACUGUCUCUUUCCUUCACUACUGUCCCUUUCCUUUACUACUGUCCCUUUCCUACUGUCCCUUUCCUUCACUACUGUCUCUUUCCUUCACUACUGUCCCUUUCCUUUACUACUGUCCCUUUACUACUGUCCCUUUCCUUUACUACUGUCCCUUUCCUUUACUACUGUCCCUUUC
RNAcentral lists this long non-coding RNA (2642 nucleotides) under Oncorhynchus kisutch (coho salmon). RNAcentral describes it as "lncRNA (ENSOKIG00005021568.1)". The record is from RNAcentral. Lineage: Eukaryota; Metazoa; Chordata; Actinopteri; Salmoniformes; Salmonidae.